Molecule: ribosomal RNA, 492 nt
Filed under: uncultured bacterium
Lineage: Bacteria
Description: partial 16S ribosomal RNA
Rfam family: Bacterial small subunit ribosomal RNA
Source: RNAcentral
AGUGAACGCUGGCGGUAGGCCUAACACAUGCAAGUCGAACGGCAGCACAGUAAGAGCUUGCUCUUACGGGUGGCGAGUGGCGGACGGGUGCGGAAUACAUCGGAAUCUACUUUUUCGUGGGGGAUAACGUAGGGAAACUUACGCUAAUACCGCAUACGACCUACGGGUGAAAGCAGGGGAUCUUCGGACCUUGCGCGACUGAAUGAGCCGAUGUCGGAUUAGCUAGUUGGCGGGGUAAAGGCCCACCAAGGCGACGAUCCGUAGCUGGUCUGAGAGGAUGAUCAGCCACACUGGAACUGAGACACGGUCCAGACUCCUACGGGAGGCAGCAGUGGGGAAUAUUGGACAAUGGGCGCAAGCCUGAUCCAGCCAUGCCGCGUGGGUGAAGAAGGCCUUCGGGUUGUAAAGCCCUUUUGUUGGGAAAGAAAAGCAGCAGGUUAAUACCCCGCUGUUCUGACGGUACCCAAAGAAUAAGCACCGGCUAACUUCGUG